UGUUCACUGGUCGAUGCUAAUGCUGGUGCAUCUUCUGCAGGGCUUCAGAUAAUUUUUCAUGAUCAGGAGUACAUACUCCUUAUUUUUUCAAUAUAGGACGUCAGUAUCAUGUUUAUUUUAUAUCUGUACAUACGCCAAUACGGCCCUUAUCUGGAGCCCUGUUCUGUCAUGUUGUGAAUGCGCCUUCCCUGGGUUGUUAAAUGAUGGACUUCUUGCCCAGCCUUCUUGAAUUUAUUUUUUACUAAGAGAGGGCUAUCCAUGGUAAUACUUGGCAUGGUAUCUCAGUGGGCUAGCACUAUCAAAUGUAGCAUUAUUCAGAACUCAUGCAAGCCACAUCACUAUGAGUGAAUUUUUAUUGAAUGCAAUUUAUCAAUUUUUUUUUUAGCAGUGUAAGUAAUUAAGUAUAUAAUUAAGCCCAUCUUUGUGAUAAAAUAGAAAUUUAUCAUGUAAAACAUUGAUGAUUCACAUCCAUACUUCACUAUUGAUUUUAAGUAUGAAAGAAUGCUGAUAUGUAUCAUUUUCAUUUUGAUGAAUAAUGCCAAGAUAUCUUUAAAAGGUAAAUGUACUCAUAACAUAACUGUACAGUAGCAUUUAAAUUGUGCUUUGUUGCUUGGAUGAGACAAAUAUCUGAAAGUAAUGAAGUAUUGACAUGUACAAGGUAAUUUAUCAUGCAGUAAAAUUCUCCUGCAGUACUGCAGAUUAAGUCCUCUCUAAACAUUUUUAGGUUGGAUUUUGGAAAGUUUUCAGUGACAUGCCAAGGGAGAUAACUGUUAAACAGUUGGGUUGUGUCCCUUUGACUUAAAUUUCAGUCUGUUUAUUAUGCAAGGAGAAAUUUCAACCAUCUUUGUGUCAGUUUCUUUGUUACUGUCCUUGAAAAGUUGGGUUCAUUGAUUAUGUCAAAUAGCAAGAAAUACCAUUGCAGACAUUGAAAUGAGGCAGGUCAGGUCAAUGGUAAUGAUGUGGAGCAGGUGUAAGGACAUAGACACUUAUUGUUGAAUAAUAAAUACGUAGAAGGUACGUUGUACAGUGUUAUAUGAUGUUGAGUUAUUAAAAAUUGUUGGAACAGUGAUUGGAACAAGUAAAUACAUAUAAUUAUUGAGCAAGAACAAGUAUAUCAAAGUAUAUACAAAA
Haliotis rubra (blacklip abalone) is the source of this 1131-nucleotide long non-coding RNA. RefSeq lists it as uncharacterized. The record is from RefSeq and is a predicted model, not a curated record. The transcript has 2 exons. NCBI's taxonomy places the organism in Eukaryota, Metazoa, Mollusca, Gastropoda, Lepetellida, Haliotidae.